This 366-nucleotide ribosomal RNA is filed under the name uncultured Anoxybacillus sp. Its description in RNAcentral is "bacterial SSU rRNA". It matches the Rfam family "Bacterial small subunit ribosomal RNA", at positions 1014 to 1382 of the family's 1533-position model. Lineage: Bacteria; Bacillati; Bacillota; Bacilli; Caryophanales; Anoxybacillaceae. The record is from RNAcentral.
UUACUUCGGUACAUCGGUGACAGGUGGUGCAUGGUUGUCGUCAGCUCGUGUCGUGAGAUGUUGGGUUAAGUCCCGCAACGAGCGCAACCCUCGACCUUAGUUGCCAGCAUUCAGUUGGGCACUCUAAGGUGACUGCCGGCUAAAAGUCGGAGGAAGGUGGGGAUGACGUCAAAUCAUCAUGCCCCUUAUGACCUGGGCUACACACGUGCUACAAUGGGCGGUACAAAGGGUCGCGAACCCGCGAGGGGGAGCCAAUCCCAAAAAGCCGCUCUCAGUUCGGAUUGCAGGCUGCAACUCGCCUGCAUGAAGCCGGAAUCGCUAGUAAUCGCGGAUCAGCAUGCCGCGGUGAAUACGUUCCCGGGCCUU